RNAcentral lists this ribosomal RNA (253 nucleotides) under uncultured bacterium. Its description in RNAcentral is "partial 16S ribosomal RNA". It matches the Rfam family "Bacterial small subunit ribosomal RNA", at positions 524 to 776 of the family's 1533-position model. The record is from RNAcentral.
UACAGAGGGUGCAAGCGUUGUUCGGAAUUACUGGGCGUAAAGGGCCAGUAGGCGGCCAACUAAGUCACACGUGAAAUCCCCAGGCUUAACCUGGGAACUGCGUGUGAUACUGGAUGGCUUGAAUUCGGGAGAGGGAUGCAGAAUUCCAGGUGUAGCGGUGAAAUGCGUAGAUAUCUGGAGGAAUACCGGUGGCGAAGGCGGCAUCCUGGACCGACAUUGACGCUGAACGGCGAAAGCUAGGGGAGCAAACGGG